AAGAAUUUAGUUUGAUAUAAAAAUGUUAGAUUGUAAAUCUAAAGAAGUUAGUUCUUGG
RNAcentral lists this transfer RNA (58 nucleotides) under Macropostrongyloides yamagutii. Its description in RNAcentral is "tRNA-Tyr". Lineage: Eukaryota; Metazoa; Nematoda; Chromadorea; Rhabditida; Strongylidae. The record is from RNAcentral.